Molecule: ribosomal RNA, 388 nt
Filed under: uncultured bacterium
Lineage: Bacteria
Description: bacterial SSU rRNA
Rfam family: Bacterial small subunit ribosomal RNA
Source: RNAcentral
AUUGAACGCUGGCGGAAUGCUUUACACAUGCAAGUCGAGCGGCAGCGCGGGGGCAACCCUGGCGGCGAGCGGCGAACGGGUGAGUAAUAUAUCGGAACGUACCCCGUCGUGGGGGAUAACACAGCGAAAGCUGUGCUAAUACCGCAUACGACCUGAGGGUGAAAGCGGGGGAUCGCAAGACCUCGCGCGAUGGGAGCGGCCGAUAUCGGAUUAGCUUGUUGGUGAGGUAAAGGCUCACCAAGGCGACGAUCCGUAGCUGGUCUGAGAGGACGACCAGCCACACUGGAACUGAGACACGGUCCAGACUCCUACGGGAGGCAGCAGUGGGGAAUUUUUGGACAAUGGGGGCAACCCUGAUCCAGCCAUUCCGCGUGAGUGAAGAAGGCCU